CAAAGCUCUUCCGCACCUUCCUCCUUCCUUCCUUCACCCGCCCACGUUAACUCCAGCUCCAAAGAAAAAGGCUUCGGAGCCGCUCGUUUUUCUAGAAUCUUGCAGAGGUUUCGUGGAGCUGACUGCGCUUGCGCAAACAGUCAAGAUGACGCAGGCUCAGUAGGUUCGAUACCGUUUGGGAGUGGUGCGAGAAGUUCGGCAGCCGCCUGUCUUUGGGGUGCCUGCCCGCAGUCGCUUCCACUUCCGGGUCCCUAGCAGCCGCCGCUCGCUGGAGCAUCAUAGGAAAACCUACAAGAUUACUCUGUCACCCUGUUCACUUAGCCCAGUAUUACAGGCUUAAAAGGAGUCACUGCCCAGAGACUGACCUACAAAAGUCCACAGACUGCUUCCUUUAUACUAAGAUAUAAGGGAGAGUUGACUCCACUACAUGGAUGUCAAGCACCAUAAGACCAAACUGGAACCAGAUGACAACUUUCAUUGGCAAUGAAACCCCUGGAAAAGCAAAGCCUACUGCAUAGUAACAUCAGCCAGGCAGCCCACUUCCUACCUGCAUAACUUCAACUGGAAUCACUGCGGAAUAAUGUCCUUGGCCUGCAAGGGCCACUUCAUUCUACAAAUACUCUCCUAAUCUAGCAUCCUGGAUCCAGUUGGUAAACUCAAGUUGACAAAAGAAAUGAAUCCUGAAGGUACGGCCCCUGGAGGACACCCAGGCUGAAGCUUGGGGAUUAACCAGUAUCAGACUAAAGCUGACUGCCUCCCUUUUGUUUUUGAUUUCCCACAACAGCUGCCCAGUGUACAGGGGUGGAAUGGAGACAAUAACUACGUUUUCAGUAAAAUUUUCAAAAAUUUUCAAAGGCUACAAGUCAGGGUUUGAUUUAUUAUUUUGUUGAUUGUCAAGACUUCAAAAAAGUG
Phascolarctos cinereus (koala) is the source of this 912-nucleotide long non-coding RNA. RefSeq lists it as uncharacterized. The record is from RefSeq and is a predicted model, not a curated record. NCBI's taxonomy places the organism in Eukaryota, Metazoa, Chordata, Mammalia, Diprotodontia, Phascolarctidae.